Molecule: long non-coding RNA, 1264 nt
Organism: Dermacentor andersoni
Lineage: Eukaryota; Metazoa; Arthropoda; Arachnida; Ixodida; Ixodidae
Source: RefSeq, a predicted model, not a curated record
UCAGGCCGCUCACGUACGUCUGCGCCAAAGUUCCUUCAUCAGGGGUGCUAUGCAGGAUGCGCCGAGUUUGGCGAAACUCGGGAUCUUCACGAGCUCUGGCGACACCCCAAGAUGAAAGCACGAAUGGUACCGAGACACAGUUUGUCUUUCGACAAGCCUCCAGUUUCAUUGGUUUAUCUAGAUUCACUCUGGCUGGCUAUCAUUCCUUGGGCGUUGCCUUCUGGGCGGUCGACAAACUGGGGCUCACGUGAUCAUACCGUCGGUGCAUGGUCGUGCCUUCUUUCACUUGUUUGUCGUUCCACCGAGUGCAUUACAUGCAGAAGCAAGUUGUAAAACAAAUGCAUUUAGUACAAUAUUAUUAGUUACUUUAACGUGGUUUAGAAGCAUUUUGAAACUUACGAGAUGUGCACUGAAUGCGUCUUAGACUAAUUUGUAAUUUAGUACGCUUCGCAUUACACCACGAGGGAACGCUGUAGUGGCGUCAUCACAUCCAUUCACUGGGCAAGCAUGGCGGCUAAGCAUCAGAGAGGCCCAGUGUAAACAAACCCGUACAACGAGCUUGCAGUGCGCGACGUAGUGAUCAGGCUCGACGAUGGCCACUAUUUCUUGGAUAGUUCUGUUCCUCCGUGGGCAAUCUUCCCGUGCACCCGGUAAGACUGCCAAUAGCUUCGGCGAUUUUACAGAUCGCAACGCGCACCUACUGUUCACGGCGAAGUGCUGAAGAAACAACUUGUCCGGUGCUGCUUCUGCGAGUGCGCCGAGUUCCUCCACUCUGCGUGACUGCGAGCGUCACGAACAUUACAUAGUGUGGGCAAAAGGCAGACAUCCUAUAUAGCUGCGAUGCGAAAAGGAGGUGGUACCGACGAUGGAUCUCGCUACCAACACAGUGAAGGAGACAUCGACAAACUGCAGCAAAACAUUCUGCUGCUGGAGGCACUCAACCGCCUGGUGGCAGUAGGCGAGCGCCAGGCACGUGCUCUUGAGAGUGUGGCAGAGGUCCAGAGGGCUGCUCUGCAACAGUAGUAUUGGUGCCCUCACUGCUCUCCUGUCGAGCCCACAGAAGGCACCUUAUAAAGGAGCUUUCAGUUUAAUAUUUUGUUUAUUAUUCAAGAACAUGAAUAAAAUUAUUGCAGUAAACAUUGUGCUGUGCAUAUUAGGAGACUUGUAACAUGCACUUGGUGUCCCUUCAAAAUAGGCAAAAACGUAAGAAAACCUGUGCCACUCUUGGACCAUGUAAAUAAAAAAUACACCUAUGCAGCAUACA